Molecule: ribosomal RNA, 404 nt
Filed under: uncultured bacterium
Lineage: Bacteria
Description: bacterial SSU rRNA
Rfam family: Bacterial small subunit ribosomal RNA
Source: RNAcentral
GGGAAUAUUGGACAAUGGGCGAAAGCCUGAUCCAGCAACGCCGCGUGAGGGAUGACGGCCUUCGGGUUGUAAACCUCUUUCAGCACAGACGAAGCGCAAGUGACGGUAUGUGCAGAAGAAGCACCGGCCAACUACGUGCCAGCAGCCGCGGUAAUACGUAGGGUGCGAGCGUUGUCCGGAAUUAUUGGGCGUAAAGGGCUCGUAGGCGGUUUGUUGCGUCAGGAGUGAAAACUCGGGGCUUAACCCCGAGCCUGCUUCUGAUACGGGCAGACUUGAGGUAUGCAGGGGAGAACGGAAUUCCUGGUGUAGCGGUGAAAUGCGCAGAUAUCAGGAGGAACACCGGUGGCGAAGGCGGUUCUCAGGGCAUUACCUGACGCUGAGGAGCGAAAGUGUGGGGAGCGAAC